This is a long non-coding RNA of Notothenia coriiceps (black rockcod), 297 nucleotides long. RefSeq lists it as uncharacterized. The transcript has 3 exons. Lineage: Eukaryota; Metazoa; Chordata; Actinopteri; Perciformes; Nototheniidae. The record is from RefSeq and is a predicted model, not a curated record.
UAAGAUAAUUUGGUUUUAUCCUCUUAAAAAGCCAGUUGUAAUGUAAAAGUUUUACCGAGGGACAAGACAUUUUGACCAUAUUUAACAGAUAUACAAUACAAAAAUCUUUAAAAUAAAAAAAUAUAUAAAUGUAUGAAUUUUUUAAAUGAACUUUAUUUGUUUACCAUAUAAUAACAACUACAUUUGUUUAUUUUCUGAUGUUAAUACAGCUUUUAUACAGCUUAAUGGGGUAGUUUUUGUGUCAGGGACACAAAAUGGCACGUUUUCAUAGAAUGAUCCAUUUAAUAUAAGAAAUGU